UAUGUUGAGCCUUCGAAAUAACAGUAGAAAACUGAUGAUCAAUGCUGGCGUGCUAGCAGCGCUUUGGAUUCUUUUAUUUUAAAAACAGAUCUUUACUAUUACUAUACAAAAAAACGAGGGUUUUGACUUUUGGGUCGGGGCAUGGUCGGGCGUUAUGAGCAUCGGGCGUAAGAUGAUUUUCCGCCCGGUGGGACUACCAUCUGUCGACAAAUGCAUUUACUGCGUGGAGUGAAACAACACACCCUGUAAGAGUCGCUCCCAUCGGGCGGAAAAUCACUCUUUCGUCCCGACCGCCCCGACCCCAAAACACCCCGUUUUUUUUAAUAGCAAUCCCCGCAAGAGGGUACCCCUUCUCUGAGAGGGAAAAUAGCCAUAGUGGAGGAACCAAGGGUCUAUCACUCUGAUAAAAACUUAAAAUUGACUAAGUAGACAAAAACAGUUCACAAUCAGGUUAAAUUAAUUUUAGUCCAACUCAAACAACACAAGCCUUGCUUUCCCAAAAGCAAGGGGAUUGCAUUUUGUGCUUGUCUUCAACAUCUUAGGGGGAUAUCUUUCUUUUAAGAAGUCAACAUCAGUGAAGGAUACACCACAAUAUAUUGCAGUAAAUACCGGUUUCAAAGGCUCCAAGGAUCUAUCGUAUCGCCAUGCUGACGGUGCUGGAGUAUCAUACCCAAUUAUUGCACUGCAGGGCCGUUAAAAUGGCGCAUUAACGGUAGCCUUAAAUCAGGCACAAAACAAAGUUUCUGAUACGAAGAAAAACUUAGCAAACUUGUAGAAUUUAAAAACUACGGUGGGAAACCUAUCUCGGUGACCAUUUGCUUACAUUCUCACCGGGUCACACCCGCACGAGAAAUUACAGACAAUGGGUAACAGUCUGACACGGCGGCAGUUUAUGAUAGUAUGUGCCAACAGAUGAGCUCUGGGCCAGUAGAACAAGAUGGCCGCAGGCCGCCAUUCCGCCAUAGAAAUGAAGAGCUUUAUUCUUUGACUUGUACUAAUAAUCAAGUGUAAUUGAAUUAAGAUAAAAAACCGAAUUUGUGUUGCCGGUUUAAGUUCUAAUUUAUGUACUGGUUCUUAUUGCUGGGAUCUGCACGUGUGAGAUAUCGUCCAAUACACGAACCUUUGAAUCGCGAAA
Long non-coding RNA from Daphnia magna, 1135 nucleotides. RefSeq lists it as uncharacterized. Lineage: Eukaryota; Metazoa; Arthropoda; Branchiopoda; Diplostraca; Daphniidae. The record is from RefSeq and is a predicted model, not a curated record. The transcript is spliced from 3 exons.